RNAcentral lists this small RNA (28 nucleotides) under Bombyx mori (domestic silkworm). Its description in RNAcentral is "ovarian small RNA-10098". Lineage: Eukaryota; Metazoa; Arthropoda; Insecta; Lepidoptera; Bombycidae. The record is from RNAcentral.
AAAGUGAGGCGUCCUUUGUCACGAUUCA